Molecule: ribosomal RNA, 253 nt
Filed under: uncultured bacterium
Lineage: Bacteria
Description: partial 16S ribosomal RNA
Rfam family: Bacterial small subunit ribosomal RNA
Source: RNAcentral
UACGAAGGGUCCAAGCGUUAUCCGGAUUUAUUGGGUUUAAAGAGUGCGUAGGCGGCUUAUUAAGUCAGUGGUGAAAGACUUCAGCUUAACUGAAGAACUGCCAUUGAUACUGAUGAGCUUGAGUACAGUUGAGGUGGGCGGAAUGUGUCAUGUAGCGGUGAAAUGCUUAGAUAUGACACAGAACACCGAUUGCGAAGGCAGCUCGCUAAACUGUAACUGACGCUGAGGCACGAAAGCGUGGGGAGCAAACAGG